This 291-nucleotide ribosomal RNA is filed under the name uncultured Geobacillus sp. RNAcentral describes it as "partial 16S ribosomal RNA". It matches the Rfam family "Bacterial small subunit ribosomal RNA", at positions 506 to 796 of the family's 1533-position model. Lineage: Bacteria; Bacillati; Bacillota; Bacilli; Caryophanales; Anoxybacillaceae. The record is from RNAcentral.
UGUCAGCAGCCGCGGUAAUACGUAGGGGGCGAGCGUUGUCCGGCAUUAUUGGGCGUAAAGCGCGCGCAGGCGGUCCUUUAAGUCUGAUGUGAAAGCCCACGGCUCAACCGUGGAGGGUCAUUGGAAACUGGGGGACUUGAGUGCAGGAGAGGAGAGCGGAAUUCCACGUGUAGCGGUGAAAUGCGUAGAGAUGUGGAGGAACACCAGCGGCGAAGGCGGCUCUCUGGCCUGUAACUGACGCUGAGGCGCGAAAGCGUGGGGAGCAAACAGGAUUAGAAACCCGAGUAGUCC